ACUCCUACGGGAGGCAGCAGUGGGGAAUCUUCCACAAUGGACGAAAGUCUGAUGGAGCAACGCCGCGUGAGUGAAGAAGGGUUUCGGCUCGUAAAGCUCUGUUGUCGGGGACGAAUGUGAGAUACUUGAACAAAGUGUCUCAAUGACGGUACCUGACGAGGAAGCCACGGCUAACUACGUGCCAGCAGCCGCGGUAAU
This 198-nucleotide ribosomal RNA is filed under the name uncultured bacterium. Its description in RNAcentral is "partial 16S ribosomal RNA". It matches the Rfam family "Bacterial small subunit ribosomal RNA", at positions 335 to 524 of the family's 1533-position model. The record is from RNAcentral.